AGCAGCUUGCUGCUUCGCUGACGAGUGGCGGACGGGUGAGUAAUGUCUGGGAAACUGCCUGAUGGAGGGGGAUAACUACUGGAAACGGUAGCUAAUACCGCAUAACGUCGCAAGACCAAAGAGGGGGACCUUCGGGCCUCUUGCCAUCGGAUGUGCCCAGAUGGGAUUAGCUAGUAGGUGGGGUAACGGCUCACCUAGGCGACGAUCCCUAGCUGGUCUGAGAGGAUGACCAGCCACACUGGAACUGAGACACGGUCCAGACUCCUACGGGAGGCAGCAGUGGGGAAUAUUGCACAAUGGGCGCAAGCCUGAUGCAGCCAUGCCGCGUGUAUGAAGAAGGCCUUCGGGUUGUAAAGUACUUUCAGCGGGGAGGAAGGGAGUAAAGUUAAUACCUUUGCUCAUUGACGUUACCCGCAGAAGAAGCACCGGCUAACUCCGUGCCAGCAGCCGCGGUAAUACGGAGGGUGCAAGCGUUAAUCGGAAUUACUGGGCGUAAAGCGCACGCAGGCGGUUUGUUAAGUCAGAUGUGAAAUCCCCGGGCUCAACCUGGGAACUGCAUCUGAUACUGGCAAGCUUGAGUCUCGUAGAGGGGGGUAGAAUUCCAUGUGU
RNAcentral lists this ribosomal RNA (609 nucleotides) under Escherichia coli. RNAcentral's name for it is "bacterial SSU rRNA". It matches the Rfam family "Bacterial small subunit ribosomal RNA", at positions 74 to 676 of the family's 1533-position model. The record is from RNAcentral. Lineage: Bacteria; Pseudomonadati; Pseudomonadota; Gammaproteobacteria; Enterobacterales; Enterobacteriaceae.